UCAUAUCCCAUUGCUACGAAUACAUACUGACGUAGUUCUACUGUCAAAACAUUAAAAGUUUUGACUUUUGACUCAUUUUGCUACUCCUUGGCCCAUUUGUCUGUAAUAUUUGACGUUUCGAAUGCCAGUUUAACCAAAUUCAGCAUAAAAAUAGGAGCAUAGAUAAUUCAUCUUUUGGAAUAGACAAUAAGAUUUUAGGCAAUUAAAAAUGAAGAACAUUAAGAAAACAAGCAGGCUAAGUAAAACAACAAACUUAGUUCGACUCUCCAGGCUCAAUUUAGCUUGAGCAGACCAACUUUUAGGUCUCAAAAAGCAAGUUAUGUGCUUUUAAAUAAAGGACCAGAGGGUCCAUUUGGACAGUUAAUAUCCCAGUAAGUUGUAUCCGUAAAUUAAGCACAAGUUUCCAUUAACAGAUUGAUGGAAAAGCAUCAGAGGAAAAACCUUUUCAAUCUGCAUUUGAUACCCAAUCGUGUAGAGUAUGAUUACGAGUCACUAUGGCAAUGAUGGGGUGUUCUAAGGAAAAAUGGAAGAAAUGGUUUCUUUCCACUCAUUCCCCGUCAAACAUAUUGGUGUCUUUCUUACUCUCUUACUUCUUCGGCAGAACUUAUUUUGCUCUUAUAACUAUGUUUCUUAAUGCCUUUGGAGUCAUAUGCUACCCGACCCGAGUGUGUAAGUAUAAAUAUCGGGGUCACCGACAUUAGUGACCCCCCGGACUUCAUUUUCCUUUAUUGUUUCUCAGUUAAUGCAACUCUCUCUCUGAUAUUCGAGAGACUUCUCACCUACUCUCCUCCUUCUCUCUACUUUCUCUCUAUAAUUUGUAUGAUUCUCUUGUUUAAUCUUGAUGUU
RNAcentral lists this long non-coding RNA (846 nucleotides) under Nicotiana benthamiana. RNAcentral's name for it is "long non-coding RNA (NBEN_LNC039257)". Lineage: Eukaryota; Viridiplantae; Streptophyta; Magnoliopsida; Solanales; Solanaceae. The record is from RNAcentral.